This 253-nucleotide ribosomal RNA is filed under the name uncultured bacterium. RNAcentral's name for it is "partial 16S ribosomal RNA". It matches the Rfam family "Bacterial small subunit ribosomal RNA", at positions 524 to 776 of the family's 1533-position model. The record is from RNAcentral.
UACGAAGGGGGCUAGCGUUGUUCGGAAUUACUGGGCGUAAAGCGCGCGCAGGCGGUCUUCCAAGUCAGUGGUGAAAGCCCGGAGCUCAACUCCGGAAAUGCCAUUGAAACUGUAAGACUUGAGGAUGAGAGAGGUGAGUGGAAUUCCCAGUGUAGAGGUGAAAUUCGUAGAUAUUGGGAAGAACACCAGUGGCGAAGGCGGCCGGCUGGGGGCGCCCUGACGCUGAGGCGCGAGAGCGUGGGGAGCAAACCGG